Molecule: ribosomal RNA, 372 nt
Filed under: uncultured organism
Description: bacterial SSU rRNA
Rfam family: Bacterial small subunit ribosomal RNA
Source: RNAcentral
CAGAGGGUGCGAGCGUUAAUCGGAAUUACUGGGCGUAAAGCGUGCGUAGACGGUUUAUUUAAGUCGGGUGUGAAAGCCCCGGGCUCAACCUGGGAAUUGCAUUCGAGACUGAAUAGCUAGGGUACGGUAGAGGGAAGUGGAAUUUCCGGUGUAGCGGUGAAAUGCGUAGAUAUCGGAAGGAACAUCAGUGGCGAAAGCGACUUCCUGGACCAGUACCGACGUUCAGGCACGAAAGCGCGGGGAGCAAACAGGAUUAGAUACCCUGGUAGUCCACGCCAUAAACGAUGAGGACUAGACGUUGGAGGGGUAAGCCUUUCAGUGUCGUAGCUAACGCGCUAAGUCCUCCGCCUGGGGAGUACGGCCGCAAGGUUG